RNAcentral lists this ribosomal RNA (465 nucleotides) under uncultured bacterium. RNAcentral's name for it is "partial 16S ribosomal RNA". It matches the Rfam family "Bacterial small subunit ribosomal RNA", at positions 28 to 507 of the family's 1533-position model. The record is from RNAcentral.
GAUGAACGCUGGCGGCGUGCUUAACACAUGCAAGUCGAACGGAAAGGCUCCUGCUUGCAGGGGUACUCGAGUGGCGAACGGGUGAGUAACACGUGGGUGAUCUGCCCUGCACUUCGGGAUAAGCCUGGGAAACUGGGUCUAAUACCGGAUAGGACGAUGGUUUGGAUGCCAUUGUGGAAAGUUUUUCGGUGUGGGAUGAGCUCGCGGCCUAUCAGCUUGUUGGUGGGGUAAUGGCCUACCAAGGCGUCGACGAGUAGCCGGCCUGAGAGGGUGUACGGCCACAUUGGGACUGAGAUACGGCCCAGACUCCUACGGGAGGCAGCAGUGGGGAAUAUUGCACAAUGGGCGCAAGCCUGAUGCAGCGACGCCGCGUGGGGGAUGACGGCCUUCGGGUUGUAAACUCCUUUCGCUAGGGACGAAGCGCAAGUGACGGUACCUGGAGAAGAAGCACCGGCUAACUACGUG